RNAcentral lists this unclassified non-coding RNA (163 nucleotides) under soil metagenome. RNAcentral's name for it is "partial internal transcribed spacer 1". The record is from RNAcentral.
CACAAAUUAAAAUAUGAAGGCUUCGGCUGGAUUAUUUUUAUCACCCUUGUCUUUUUGCGCACUUGUUGUUUCCUGGGCGGGUUCGCCCGCCACCAGGACCACACCAUAAAACCUUUUUUAUGCAGUUGCAAUCAGCGUCAGUAUAACAAAUGUAAAUCAUUUA